RNAcentral lists this ribosomal RNA (449 nucleotides) under uncultured bacterium. Its description in RNAcentral is "partial 16S ribosomal RNA". It matches the Rfam family "Bacterial small subunit ribosomal RNA", at positions 29 to 523 of the family's 1533-position model. The record is from RNAcentral.
AACGAACUCUGGCGGCAUGCCUAACACAUGCAAGCCGAACGAGACCUUCGGGUCUAGUGGCGCACGGGUGAGUAACGCGUGGGAAUCUACCCUUGGGUUCGGAAUAACAGUUAGAAAUGACUGCUAAUACCGGAUGAUGACGUAAGUCCAAAGAUUUAUCGCCCAAGGAUGAGCCCGCGUAAGAUUAGCUUGUUGGUGGGGUAAUGGCCUACCAAGGCGACGAUCUUUAGCUGGUCUGAGAGGAUGAUCAGCCACACUGGGACUGAGACACGGCCCAGACUCCUACGGGAGGCAGCAGUGGGGAAUAUUGGACAAUGGGCGAAAGCCUGAUCCAGCAAUGCCGCGUGAGUGAUGAAGGCCUUAGGGUUGUAAAGCUCUUUUACCAGGGAUGAUAAUGACAGUACCUGGAGAAUAAGCUCCGGCUAACUCCGUGCCAGCCGCCGCGGUAA